GAUGAACGCUAGCGACAGGCCUAACACAUGCAAGUCGAGGGGCAGCACGGUGUAGCAAUACACGGGGUGGCGACCGGCGCACGGGUGAGUAACGCGUAUGCAACCUGCCUACUACAAGGGGAUAACCCGUUGAAAGACGGACUAAUACCCUAUAACACAGGGAAUCCGCAUGGAUAUAUUUGUUAAAGAUUUAUCGGUAGUAGAUGGGCAUGCGUUCCAUUAGCUUGUUGGUGAGGUAACGGCUCACCAAGGCAACGAUGGAUAGGGGAACUGAGAGGUUGAUCCCCCACACUGGAACUGAGACACGGUCCAGACUCCUACGGGAGGCAGCAGUGAGGAAUAUUGGUCAAUGGACGAGAGUCUGAACCAGCCAAGUCGCGUGAAGGAAGACGGCCCUACGGGUUGUAAACUUCUUUUGUAAGGGAAUAAAUAGUCUUACGCGCUAAGACGUUGCAGGUACCUUACGAAUAAGGAUCGGCUAACUCCGUG
RNAcentral lists this ribosomal RNA (489 nucleotides) under uncultured bacterium. RNAcentral's name for it is "bacterial SSU rRNA". It matches the Rfam family "Bacterial small subunit ribosomal RNA", at positions 28 to 507 of the family's 1533-position model. The record is from RNAcentral.